RNAcentral lists this ribosomal RNA (119 nucleotides) under Nelumbo nucifera (sacred lotus). The record is from RNAcentral. Lineage: Eukaryota; Viridiplantae; Streptophyta; Magnoliopsida; Proteales; Nelumbonaceae.
GGGUGUGAUCAUACCAGCGCUAAUGCAUCGGAUCCCAUCAGAACUCCGAAGUUAAGAGUACUUGGACGGGAGUAGUACUAGAAUAGGUGACCUCCUGCGAAGUCCUCGUGUUGCACCCC